CCAGGCUGGUCUUCAGCUCCUGAUCUCAGGUGAUCCACCCGCUUCAGCCUCCCAAAUUGCUGGGAUUACAGGCUUGUUUGGACUGAGUUCCAGAUCUGGGCUGUCAUGGAACAUAACAGGGACCCUUCAUGGGGACAGCAAGAAGGUUCACCGACCCAAUUCAGAGGAAGGAAGAGCCUGGCCUUCAAAAUUACUAUGACCAUCAGAAUGCCCUAGGAGAUCAAAGAAAUAACGGAGUGGGUGUGAGACCUUUUACAAAUGUGUGCACUCAAGCAGUGCAAAGGCAAACCUCCUGGACCUGUCUACAAGCAACAUUGUAACAUAUUUCUGAGCCCAUCACAUGGAUAAUGUGACCCUUCUCUUUUUGUCCUGCCCCAAGUGAAGAUUGUGACAUGUCACCAGGCCCUUUGUCUAGGCAAUAUGACUCUUCUCUCCUGUCUGGGCCCUGAUUACAAGGGGGAUUGUGACAAUCACUGGGCCCAUCAUGUAGAUAAUAAGAGUUUCUCUUCCUGCCUGGGCCUUUUCUACAGAAAAGAUUAAGACAUCACUGGGCCAAGCACCCACAUGAUGUCACUCGCCUGCCUGCAUUCUGCCUACAGUGGGUAUUGUGACAUAUCCCUGGCACAGAACCAAGGUAACGUGACUCACCUACCUGGUUCCUGCCCACUGAUGGGAUUGUGACAUAUACCUAGGUCCAGCUCACAGGCAUGAUGAUAACUGUCAUACGUGGACCCAGCCAAUAAGAGAUUUUUGCUCUUAGGCUUAUUACAACAGAGUCUCGCUCUGUCACUCAGGCUGGAGUGCAGUGGCAUGAUCUCAGCCCGCUGCAACCUUCGCCUUCCAGGUUCAAGCAGUUCUCCUGCCUCAGCUCUUGGACAAAACUUCAGCACUCCUGCUAGGGUGUGUCUGCCCUACUAAGACACUGUGCGCAGGUGGAGUUGAGGCUCUUAUGUAUGGAUCCUGUCCACUGUUGAGAUUGUGAAUUGCAUGUGUAGACUCAACUCACAGGAGGUGUUGACUCACAAACCUCCAGCUGGGACAUGUGCAGGAUUAGAAAUUUUAUUUCUGGAUCUUUCUUCAGAAGGCGUUGUAACAUCUCACUAAGCCCAGCACUCAGGCGAUGUGGCUUUCCUGCUAUGGCACUGCACACAAGAAGAAUGUUGACAUAUUCCUGGCCCAGAAUUCAGGUGGAGAUGGAGCUCUCAUGCACGGAUCCUGUCCGAUGUUAAGACUGUGUCUCGUGUAUUUGGAUGCAACUCACAAGAGGUGUUGACUCUCAGACCUAAAGCUGGGAAAUAUGUAGAAUUGUGAAAUUUAUUCCUGGUCCUUCCCGCAGGUGUGAUUGUGGCGUAUAUGUUCACACAGCACUUAAUUUAUUUUACAAUUUGUUUGAACUCAGCCAACUGUUGGGACUGUGACAUAUACCUGGACCAAGUUCCUAGGUGAUGUAACUCUCCAGCCUGGGCCUUACCACAGGGUACAUUGUGACAUAUCUUUGGACUUAUCACCUAUGUGAUGUGACUCUACUGACUUGCCUUGUCUUGGCCUCCAUUGGGGAUUGUGGCAUAUUUCUGUGCCCAGUACCUAAGUUAUGUGACUCUUCUUUCCUGCUUGUGCAUUUAGAAGGGAUUGUGACAUAUUGCUGGGCCAAGAACCUAGGUGAUGUGACUCUCCUGCCUUGGCCCUGCCUUCAGGAAAAAUUGUGAUGUGACUCUGGGUUUAUUACCUAGAUGAUGUGACUCUUGUGUUCUGCAUGGGCAAGCCCAAAGGGGUCAUUGUGGCAUAUCUCUGGGCACAUCAAAGAAGUGGUGUAAUUUUUCUCUCAUUCCAGGACUCUAGUCUCAGUAGGGAUUGUGACAUAUCACUGGGCCCAUAACCUAUGUCAUGUGAUUCUAGUAUCCUGCUUGGGCCCUGCUUACAGGAAAGAUUGUGACAUUUGGCUGGGCCCAUCACCUAGUUAAUGUGACUCUCCUUUUCUUCCUGUGCCCUGCCCUCAGUGGAGAUUGUGACAAAUUUCUGGGCCAAUCAGCUGUGCAAUAUGACUCUGCUCUUUCCUGGGCCCUGCUAUCGGGGAGCAUUGUGACAUAUUGCCAGGCUCAGCACCUAGGUAAUGUGACUCUUCUUGCUGCCUGGGCCCUACUUACAGAAGGGAUUUUGAUGUAUUGCUGAACCAAGAAUUCAGAUGAUGUGACUCUCCUGCCUGUGCGCUGUCUACAGUGGGCAUUGUGACAUAUCAUUGGUGAUGUGACUCUCCUGCCUUGUUCCUGCCCACAGGUGAAAUUGUGGCAUAUACCUGGGUCCAGAUCACAGGCACAAUGAUGACUCUCUUACCUGGACACAGCCAGUGGGAAAUAUUUUGACUUUUGUAGCCAGGCUUAGGGCCACAGGUGGUUUGGUGACUCUCAAACCAUGAUUCAGCAGACCUGUGAGGCUGUGAGUUCCCUAUCAGAACACAAUCUGCAGGUUGUAUUGUGCCAUAUACCUGGGACCAAAUUACAAGCACAAUGAUGAAUCUUUUACCUGGAGUCAAGACAUGGGCAGGAUGAUGGAACUUAUCACUGGACCUUUCCACAGUGUUAUUGUGACAUAUGCCUUUGCCCAACAUGUGGUGAUUUGACUCCCCAGACUGGGUCCAGUUCACAAAUAAAAUUGUGCCGUAUACUUGGCCAAGAACCUAA
This 2678-nucleotide long non-coding RNA is filed under the name Homo sapiens (human). Its description in RNAcentral is "HSALNT0341207". Lineage: Eukaryota; Metazoa; Chordata; Mammalia; Primates; Hominidae. The record is from RNAcentral.